This is a long non-coding RNA of Zophobas morio, 400 nucleotides long. RefSeq lists it as uncharacterized. The record is from RefSeq and is a predicted model, not a curated record. Lineage: Eukaryota; Metazoa; Arthropoda; Insecta; Coleoptera; Tenebrionidae. The transcript has 3 exons.
UUCCACGUUACAGACUGAACCUGAGUCCCUGGCAAAAGAGUCGAAAAUAUGGAGCCGAAGUGCUUGUCAACUUCCUUUAAAACAGGUGGAUAACACGGUAAAGAGACGCUGCGCAAUACUUUUAUGGACUCGUAGAUGGUCUCUCUGUCUUUCUCGACAAUGGACUUCUUUUUCAGUAGGGCAUUAUUCUCGGCCUCGACCUCCUCAAACCGCGUAAUGACCUAGUGGAAAGCCCGCUAUAGCCCUUAAGCACAACGAUGCGCUUUGAGCUUUACUUUGGAAUUCAAGAAAGGGAUUAAAUAAGCCUAAGGGGAGAGACCGCAAAGUCGUACGGCCCACCGUGGAUACCAAAGUUAUUUCUUUCGUCCACGAUCCAGGAGUACUUCCUCUCCAAUGCUUU